CCUACGGGAGGCAGCAGUGAGGAAUAUUGGUCAAUGGACGAGAGUCUGAACCAGCCAAGUAGCGUGAAGGAUGACUGCCCUAUGGGUUGUAAACUUCUUUUAUAUGGGAAUAAAAUGUUCCACGUGUGGGAUUUUGUAUGUACCAUAUGACUAAGGAUCGGCUAACUCCGUGCCAGCAGCCGCGGUAAUACGGAGGAUCCGAGCGUUAUCCGGAUUUAUUGGGUUUAAAGGGAGCGUAGGUGGAUUGUUAAGUCAGUUGUGAAAGUUUGCGGCUCAACCGUAAAAUUGCAGUUGAAACUGGCAGUCUUGAGUACAGUAGAGGUGGGCGGAAUUCGUGGUGUAGCGGUGAAAUGCUUAGAUAUCACGAAGAACUCCGAUUGCGAAGGCAGUUCACUGGACUGCAACUGACACUGAGGCUCGAAAGUGUGGGUAUCAAACAGGAUUAGAUACCCCAGUAGUC
Molecule: ribosomal RNA, 460 nt
Filed under: uncultured bacterium
Lineage: Bacteria
Description: partial 16S ribosomal RNA
Rfam family: Bacterial small subunit ribosomal RNA
Source: RNAcentral